CAGUCGCCGCGGGAAUACGUAGGUGGCAAGCGUUGUCCGGAAUUAUUGGGCGUAAAGGGCUCGCAGGCGGUUUCUUAAGUCUGAUGUGAAAGCCCCCGGCUCAACCGGGGAGGGUCAUUGGAAACUGGGAAACUUGAGUGCAGAAGAGGAGAGUGGAGUUCCACGUGUAGCGGUGAAAUGCGUAGAGAUGUGGAGGAACACCAGUGGCGAAGGCGACUCUCUGGUCUGUAACUGACGCUGAGGAGCGAAAGCGUGGGGAGCGAACAGGAUUAGAUACCCCCGUAGUCCCUGUCUCUUAUAC
RNAcentral lists this ribosomal RNA (301 nucleotides) under uncultured bacterium. RNAcentral's name for it is "partial 16S ribosomal RNA". It matches the Rfam family "Bacterial small subunit ribosomal RNA", at positions 509 to 807 of the family's 1533-position model. The record is from RNAcentral.